UCCGAGGAUGAUGCAGAAAGUUAAACAAGAACUGGAGAGGAAGACUGUUGGCUCGUGUUGGGGAAAUGGCGAGGUGAAUUUCAACAAGUCAGAUAUGCAUGAUGAUCUCCAUGCUUUCCUCAUGGAAGCUGCCAAAUUGUCAUGUUCCCAUUUCUCCACUGGAGAAGAUGAUGACGAAGACAAAAAGUAUUAGUAGUUAAUUAUCAAUCUUGACCAUACAUCACUCCAUUUUGGAUAAGCAGCAAAAAUUAACCUUCAAUAAGUGUCAUUUUUCUGAUAUUUGUAGAGAUUGAUUCAGCUUAACACAGGCAAAGAUCUGAAAACUGUUGUGAAGAUGCCUAAUCUUCAGUCCUUUUACUGUUGAUGUUGUGUGGAAAUUCCACAAAGCCAGGAAUCUGACCAGCUCAUAAGUCAUCAAUUGAAUUCUCUAGCUCUUUCUGUUACUGUCAACCAUGUGUAUGUGAAAUUAUUUUUCUGCUGUUCAUUUGUUCUGAGCUGUUUGUAUAAAGUUCAUUGUAUACUGUUUAUUUUUAACAAGCUUGCAGAUCUAACUAACGAGGAAUUCAGGGCCAAGCUUAAAUGCCUAGGACAUCGAUGGAAACACAAGCAUGAGGCUCCGAAAGAAUUUAAGGAUCACGCUGGGCGUUCUCAGCGGUGGCAGCAAAUAGAAGGCAUCAACCAAAUGAAGACCAAGAAACUAGUUUCACUCCGACACAAAAGGCCAAAGCACAGGAUGCAGGUUGGGAUUAACAACCACAGCCUUCGAAUUUGUCAAAAAGAACCACGGGCUCACCACCGAAUCUGACUACCCUUGUAAAGGUGCUCAAAAAUCCUGCAGCACCAAGAAGCGUAAAAACCAUUCUGUAACAAUUAAGUGGUUGCAAGAACGUGACAGCUAAACAGCGAAAAAAAGCCUACUACAGGCAACAGCUAAACAGCCAGUAUCGGUCGCCAUCGAGUCUCUGCUGGCACUGCAUUCCAGUUUUGCUCUAACGGUGUAUAAAGGUGGCCCAUGUGGGACUAAUCUUGAUCAUGCGAUGACAGCGGUGGGAUAUGGAAGUGAACGAGGGAAGAAGCAUCGGUUAGCGAAGAACUCGCGGGGCGCUGACUGGGGAGAGAACGGUUUACGUGAGGAUGAGACGUGAUGUUUCUGGCAGUGAAGGAAUUUGCGGGAUGUUGAAGUUGGCUCCUUAUCCGGUUAUGUAGUAAGCAAGCUGCUACAAGUCGUGAAAUAAUUGUACAUAUUGUGGAUAUAGGACGUUACAGAUUUGUAUCUCUUGGGGGUUAGAGAGGUUGAUAUUUGAAAUAAGAAAGUCCAGCAAAUGUCGUGGAUCAAUGAAUAGU
Asparagus officinalis (garden asparagus) is the source of this 1344-nucleotide long non-coding RNA. RefSeq lists it as uncharacterized. The record is from RefSeq and is a predicted model, not a curated record. The transcript has 3 exons. NCBI's taxonomy places the organism in Eukaryota, Viridiplantae, Streptophyta, Magnoliopsida, Asparagales, Asparagaceae.